GUGGCGACGAUGCGUAGGGGUUCUGAGAGGAAGGUCCCCCACACUGGUACUGAGACACGGACCAGACUCCUACGGGAGGCAGCAGUGAGGAAUAUUGGUCAAUGGGAGAGAUCCUGAACCAGCCAAGCCGCGUGAGGGAAGACGGCCCUAUGGGUUGUAAACCUCUUUUGUCGGAGAACAAAACCCGGGACGAGUCCCGGACUGCGUGUAUCCGAAGAAAAAGCAUCGGCUAACUCCGUGCCAGCAGCCGCGGUAAUACGGAGGAUGCGAGCGUUAUCCGGAUUUAUUGGGUUUAAAGGGUGCGUAGGCGGUCCGUUAAGUCAGCGGUAAAAUUGCGGGGCUCAACCCCGUCGAGCCGUUGAAACUGGCAGACUUGAGUUGGCGAGAAGUACGCGGAAUGCGCGGUGUAGCGGUGAAAUGCAUAGAUAUCGCGCAGAACUCCGAUUGCGAAGGCAGCGUACCGGCGCCACACUGACGCUGAGGCACGAAAGCGUGGGGAUCGAACAGGAUUAGAUACCCUGGUAGUCCACGCAGUAAACGAUGAAUGCUGGUUGUCCGGGUCGAAUGAGAUCUGGGCGGCGA
RNAcentral lists this ribosomal RNA (582 nucleotides) under uncultured bacterium. RNAcentral's name for it is "bacterial SSU rRNA". It matches the Rfam family "Bacterial small subunit ribosomal RNA", at positions 270 to 849 of the family's 1533-position model. The record is from RNAcentral.